Molecule: long non-coding RNA, 2346 nt
Organism: Brachypodium distachyon (stiff brome)
Lineage: Eukaryota; Viridiplantae; Streptophyta; Magnoliopsida; Poales; Poaceae
Exons: 2
Source: RefSeq, a predicted model, not a curated record
GGUCUUUUCCAAAACCUAGUGCUACCUUUUUUCCUAAAAAAAAAAACUACUGCUAUCUUCUCCGGCGGCGACGGCCGUACGAAUUAUUGUUCCGCACGGAUCCGCUGCAGAAACCCUUGGAGGAAGACGAGACGAGGAGGAUUACCGGGGCGACGUCUCCGGAGAGUUUCAACCGGCGCGCUGCGCCAAAGAAGGAGGCGACGCACAGCGCACCUUGUGCGUGCUCGCCGCACGGCUUCUCCAGCCACCGACGCCACCUCUGCCGCCGAGGCGAUCUGAUCCAUCCACAAUCCAUCUUUGGCUCUGCCCCUGUUGUGAUUUGUUUCUUGGUUCGGCUUGAUUUGAGGUUAAGCUGCGGAGCAGAACUAGCAAGGCGAAUUGGAUUGACUGGAGGACCAAGAACAAGUGGUGAAGGAGUCGGAUAAGGAAAAUCGGCACACCAGUUAGGCCAAGCGUUGCGGCAGAUUCUGUUUUCGUAGGCUGCUCUGCUCCUCCUCCGGCCGUAGGCACAGCCUGGUCUUCCUGAGGAGUCCCCGCCGAAGACGUCUUGUCCAGCCGCCGCUCCGCCCAAACCACAAAAGGAGAAAAGUAAGCAGUACCUUGCCCUUGAUUACUGGUUUCUCGAUUCAGUUUCGUCUUUGUUGUCCUUCCGGAAACAAAUUUGGUGGAUGAGAUGGAUUAGGAUACAGACCUUAGCGCUGCAGCAACUUGGCAUGAAACUUGCGUCAGUCUGCCCGUUCUGGUAGUGUUAUUUUGCUUUUUGAAAUAAAAGAAGAGCGAAACGAUACAUCGACCAUGGAUCGAUCUCAAGGGAUUUACCCACCUGGGGGAAGUAAUUCGGUGGAGAAACAGGAUCCAGCUCCAGCACCUGACCGUGAUUGGUCUGCGCUCCCGGCGGACCUGCUGAUCCGCAUACGAAUUGUGCCUUCUCCUGGCAGGAACCAGAGCCCUUGCCUGCUGUACUCCUCCAAUGAUCGUGAGCUUGCCACAGCCACCCUGCACAGGCUCUCCACGAAUAAGCUCUACCACAUUGUGCUCCCUUGACCCAACACUCCGCAGCUGCUUUAUAGCCGGUUCCUCUCAUGGUUGGCUUGUUAUAGCCGACGAGCGGUCCAACCUCCUCCUUGUCAACCCGAUCACUCGUGCUCAGAUCGUGCUCCCACCGGCCGUAACUAUCAAGAAUGUGCAAGGUUGUUAUACUGCAGAGGGAGUCCUUGAUAGCUACACUCUUCUUGAUCUUGAUCUUGAUCUUGAAACCCAGGGCUGCAACCUGCAAGCUUGCACAUGUGACCUCUCGCUAGAGGAAGGUCGCUUCUUCUUCUACUGGAGGGUUGCCAUGUCCGCUGAUCCAUCCAGUGGGAAUUGCAUCGUCAUGAUCUUACACAUGCCUGAGAAACACAUCUCAUUCACCCGGGUUGGGGACACACAAUGGACAUGGAUAAAUGUGCAUCCAGACUGCUUCGACUAUUGUGAUGUUUUCUAUAAUGACUCCGACGGCCUGUUCUACGCCAUGCGACGCAGUGGUGAGGUUCACACCAUUGAUGUCAAUGGACCUUAUCCGGUGGUGAAGGUCAUAUUAAAUCCCAUGACGCGCUCCAGGGAUAGCAGCAGGUACAUUGUGCAAGCACCAUGGGGUGCCAUCCUUCAGGUUUGGAGGAAUGACCAACCCAUAAGGAGAGGGGAGUAUCGAUCGGACUGUCAAGCUUGAGGUGUACACGGUGGAUCUAUUUGGGCAAAAGCUUCUCGAAAUAAAGAACUUGCAGGACCAUGUGUUGUUCAUUGGUUUCAACACCCCGUUCUUCCUUCCUGCAAAGGAGUUCCCCAUGUUAACCCCAAAUUGCAUCUACCUGACAGAUGACAACAUGGCCUGCAUCUAUUCCCAUAGAUUUGCUCCACGCCAGGUGGUUGUUUUCAACAUGGAGGAUAGAAGCUUCACUGAUCUGUUGCCUGUUUCCAACUCACGGCUGAAUUGGCCAGUUCCAAUUUGGAUUAGACCAUCGUGUAAUCAGUACAAUAAAGGUCGAGAUAUGAAAUAAGCUGGCAAACCAGCAGUUAGUUUGUUGAGGGUAUCUGGUUGUUUCAAAGGUUGCCUUCAAAAGUAAUCUAACCAAUAUGACCCCCACCAUCGGCGCCCCCAAACUCAAUUGUUCUUGAUUGGAUGAGUAACAUUGCAUCUUGCACAUGUGAACUUUUAUGGUUCUAUUUAUUAUUUAUUUAUUUAUUUAUUUAUAGGACGGUUAAAUAAUUGGUCUUGUGCUCCUCAUGGGUUGUCUAACAUGGUUGCCAGCUUUGUAAUGAUUCCAAAUUACACGGCAACAGUUAAAGUUACUCCCUCCGUUCCUUAAA